Molecule: non-coding RNA, 1184 nt
Organism: Styela clava
Lineage: Eukaryota; Metazoa; Chordata; Ascidiacea; Stolidobranchia; Styelidae
Source: RefSeq, a predicted model, not a curated record
UGGAAACAACUAUAAGCUAUAACCAGUUGAUUAUAUGUUUCAUACGUUAUGGGUGAAAGUGUUGUGGACGUUUGAAGUUAUUUUAAUCCGUUCGCUGGUUCUUUACGUUCUUUACGACUAAGGGUCUCCUGUUUACGGCCCCGGAAAACAUUAUUUAAACAGAACAUUUAAACUCGGGCUUGUCAGUAUGACUUAUCGAGUUGGUACUUUGCCCACGACUAGACUAAUCUUUGCUAAACCACUAAGAAUGCGUUUGUUUAUCAAACCGCAAUCCAAUUAAACAUCGCUGAAUAAUGAAACGAACAGCAAACAAAACUGUUACAUAAGAGAUUUUAGUUGAUUUGAAUUUCAUGUAGUUUGUGGAUGAAUUUUAAAGUGAUUUUUACUUAAAAUGCAAUUGAAAGAAAAUGUUGCCACCGUUCUUGUUAUUUUUUGUUGCGGACUUGGGCUUACACAGACCAUAUGCAAAAACAAUGACAAAGAUACUUGUAAAUGUGAUUUAGUUAACGGGUCCGGAGUUAUUGAUAUCACGUUUGGAAAUACAAAUCUGACGGCGUUAUAUCACAGACCAAAUCCACGCGGAGGUCCUUAUGUCUACGAGUAUAAUCCUUGUUACGAAUUCACGUCUAUCGAGGGUUCAGUAUCUGGACUUGCGACCAUCAUGUAUAGCGAAUAUCUGCAUAAUUAUUAUGAUCUUGGUAAACAAAAAAAAGUACUUGGAAACUUGACAAAAACGGAUCUCUGGUUGUGUUUUACACGUCGAACCAGUAUGUAAGCAUUUUAACAUUCACGGUGAAGAUUGUGUGUGAUCCACAGGCCCGCAUUGACAACAUCACAGCACUGGGUUUUGAUGCAACAAUCGCCAAUCAUAACUUCAUACUUUCUGGGCCUGCAUUAUGCCCGAGAAAAGAAUACGGAGUGAUGGGCGUAGGAUACUUUUCAAUAGUUGGAGCAAUUGUUUUAUUAUCCAUUUACAUGGUUGCUCGUCUCUCACGCAACAACGCAAAUGCAGAUGAAAGCAGCAAUGAUUUUGCAACAGAUGGAAAUUCUUGGUUCUCCUCUCUAUGAGAAGGAGAUAUCCGAAACAUGUCAUCAAAUUCAUUCUAUUACGUGCACUUUCAUAACAAUAUAAUAUGAAAGUUCGGGUUUUGAAUAUUCUAAUUCCCUUUAAUUAAUAUGUAAAA